Molecule: non-coding RNA, 29 nt
Filed under: Mus musculus (house mouse)
Lineage: Eukaryota; Metazoa; Chordata; Mammalia; Rodentia; Muridae
Source: RNAcentral
UCAUUUUGCAUAUAUGUCCUUACAACCUG